Dalotia coriaria is the source of this 455-nucleotide long non-coding RNA. RefSeq lists it as uncharacterized. The transcript is spliced from 3 exons. Lineage: Eukaryota; Metazoa; Arthropoda; Insecta; Coleoptera; Staphylinidae. The record is from RefSeq and is a predicted model, not a curated record.
CGUGCGUCCGGCCGCAUGCGUUGCCGACUCGACAGGGUACCUAUGGAAUUUGUUUACUCGUGCGGUGCAGUAAAAUUAAGUCGUGCGGCGAAGGAUAAUAAUUCAUUAAGUUUGUUAAGUGUUGAUCGACGCAAGUGAGGCAAUGAGUUGUGUGAUGCACCAUCGACUGGUAACCGUGGCUAUGGUUCUGGUUUGUCACAUUUCACGAAUUCGACAACAACUGUAGGCUCCCGUAAAAAUACUGCCUAGUGUGCUAGUUGUGACAAUAUUAAACUGUUAUCCAGGUCGAAUUACUGCAGCAAACAAAUACCACCCGUCGGAGAAUUUAAUUCCGCAUCUUUAGGCGCUACGCUGAAGUUUGUGUGACGCCCCCGACCGACACUAAUAAUUUUUAAAAAUUAACGCGUGGGCGCAAAAAGCAGAUAAAAUAUCUUUUUUUUUUUCAAUAACUCACU